GAAUAUUGGACAAUGGGGGGAACCCUGAUCCAGCCAUGCCGCGUGUGUGAAGAAGGCCUUUUGGUUGUAAAGCACUUUAAGCUAGGAGGAGGCUCCUUCGCUUAAUACUCUCGGAUAGUGGACGUUACACGCAGAAUAAGCCCCGGCUACCUCUGUCCCAGCAGCCGCGGUAAGACAGAGGGUGCAAGAGUUAAUCGGAUUUACUGGGCGUAAAGCGGGCGUAGGUGGCCAAUUAAGUAAAAUGUGAAAUCCCCGAGCGUAACUUGGGAAUUGCAUUCGAUACUGGUUGGCUAGAGGAUGGGAGAGGAUGGUAGAAUUCCAGGUGUAGCGGUGAAAUGCGUAGAGAUCUGGAGGAAUACCGAUGGCGAAGGCAGCCAUCUGGCCUAAUACUGACACUGAGGUGCGAAAGCAUGGGGAGCAAACAG
This 425-nucleotide ribosomal RNA is filed under the name uncultured bacterium. RNAcentral's name for it is "partial 16S ribosomal RNA". It matches the Rfam family "Bacterial small subunit ribosomal RNA", at positions 359 to 775 of the family's 1533-position model. The record is from RNAcentral.